RNAcentral lists this long non-coding RNA (1209 nucleotides) under Mustela putorius furo (domestic ferret). RNAcentral's name for it is "lncRNA (ENSMPUG00000028188.1)". Lineage: Eukaryota; Metazoa; Chordata; Mammalia; Carnivora; Mustelidae. The record is from RNAcentral.
GUGAUUCAUUCGAAGACGCCCAUCAGAGGCCUGCUCCCACAGAGUGAGAUAUUAACAAGAGUAACACAUAAUAAUACCGAACCAUUAUAACAAUAUACUGUAAUGAAAAUUACGUACUGUGAUGUAGUCUCUCUCAAAAUAUUUGGUUAUAUCACGCUCACCCUUCUUGGAACAACGUCAGAGGAUAACACGCUUACGAGCUGAGCCAACGUUCUAGGGUAAAUGACGCAGCGCCGUGACGUCGCGUUAGUCUACUGUCGACCUUCUGAUGAUUCGCCAAGAAGAUCCUCACCUUCUGAAUGGUGGUUCACGCGGUUAACGAAACUGCGAGAGUGAAACUGCAGAUGAGUGGGGGGUGAGCUCUAUGACUGUGUAUUGGUUUAGCAGGCUCAGGAAUGACUCGGGUGGGAUUUGAACCUGGCCCUUGUACGCAGAGGGAAAGGAGAGACUGGAGAGAGACUCGGAGGGGGCGGGUUUAAAAGCAAGGGAACUGAUCAAGGAGGCUUGGCUCGAGUGCCCUCAGGACAGAGAAUUCCAUCCUUGCCUGCCAGAAUCUUACGAAUGGACAGAGAGGCCUUAACCGGGUUCGGUUGUAUAUGGAAAUGGUCGCAGGGACCUACUGUGCGCUCAGAGCUGCGUCGGUUUAGUGGCUCCUAGUGUGGAGACAGACUGUACAUUCCAAGCCUGGGAGAAGUGAGGAGCCUCAAAGCCUGGGUCCCGCUUGCCAGCCAACCAGUGUCACGUUCUCUCGAUGGUCUCUUCUCAUACUGCAUCUUCCAGGUUAGAUUCCCCAAGGCUUUCUUUCUGAAUUCCUUUGGUAGAAAGGAAGUCAGCUUGACUCAGCUUGUGUUCACCUAACCUGAGUAUAUAGUUGGCCUUUCAUGAAGAACCAAAAAAGGUGAUCCCUAGUUUCCUGUGUGUUAGAAAGAACGAGGAGCCUUUGUGGAAAGAACUUCCGCUUAGAGCAACAAGAAUCAAGACUCAUGCAGACUCCACUCUGAGGACAUGCGAGGCGCUCCUUGCAUCUGUAGCCAGUAGAUGGCGCUGCUUCCACGCUCAGGCAGCCAGGGAGCCCAGGAAGGCUUCUUUCAGGAAGACUGGCAGUAGGAUUUUUUCCCAGAGAAGAUCCUACCUUCACCCUUAGAAGGUUAGUUUGGUUUCCAACAACACAAUUAUGAAGUGUGUAUAUCAACACAUUUUUAAGAUUUG